AUUGAACGCUGGCGGCAUGCCUUACACAUGCAAGUCGAACGGCAGCACGGGAGCAAUCCUGGUGGCGAGUGGCGAACGGGUGAGUAAUACAUCGGAACGUGCCCAGUAGUGGGGGAUAACCCGGCGAAAGCCGGACUAAUACCGCAUACGACCUACGGGUGAAAGCAGGGGAUCGCAAGACCUUGCGCUAUCGGAGCGGCCGAUGUCAGAUUAGCUAGUUGGUGGGGUAAAAGCCUACCAAGGCGACGAUCUGUAGCUGGUCUGAGAGGACGACCAGCCACACUGGGACUGAGACACGGCCCAGACUCCUACGGGA
RNAcentral lists this ribosomal RNA (316 nucleotides) under uncultured bacterium. RNAcentral's name for it is "bacterial SSU rRNA". It matches the Rfam family "Bacterial small subunit ribosomal RNA", at positions 30 to 346 of the family's 1533-position model. The record is from RNAcentral.